CCCUACCAAAUGUGACACUGGAGGGGGGAGGAAUCCUAAAAACGGAAGUUCCAUUUUUGGGUGGAACUCCGCUUUAAGCAACUUCCUGUAUAGGGUGCCAACACUCUGCCUUCGUCUACCAAAUUGGCUUUUACAUUGUCACCCUAUCAUUAUAGAUUUCUAAUGGAGAAUUGGCUGUUUAACAAGCAUUAUGCUGACAUGGUCCACUGUUGUCACCAUUAGGAACCCACCCUGAGAAAUGCCAUGUAGCCGUCACUCCAGCGUAUGCAUGUAGAUGGCAAAUGGCCACAAAGAGGCUGCAGGAGAUCAUCAGUACUGAGAUACAUCAAGGAUGACAAAGAUUGUCUCCUGAUGAAGCGAUAUCCAUCGCAAAACUAGUCGAGAUCUCCCGUAUCGUGACUCCAACCUUCACCCAAAAAACCCCCCUACCUUGGGGAUUGCACCUCCGGUGAUCCAUUUGACGUCACGCUAUGUGCACUGUUUUUAAAUGAUGUCGAUGUCUGAUGUUUUUUAUCCUUUGUUUUGUGUCAUUAUAUUAAUAAAUUGAUGUUUAUUUUU
This is a long non-coding RNA of Rana temporaria (common frog), 558 nucleotides long. RefSeq lists it as uncharacterized. The transcript is spliced from 2 exons. The record is from RefSeq and is a predicted model, not a curated record. Lineage: Eukaryota; Metazoa; Chordata; Amphibia; Anura; Ranidae.